GCGUCUUUUUACAGGCACUAACUCCGCCAUUCGUUGGGCAAAGCCUAUGGGGGAAAUUAAUGGCGUUUUUGUAGGGUAUUUGGAUAAACGCCGAAAAUAAGUUGAAACCAAGAUUCUUCCGUGAAGAGCACACUUCUCCAGUGUGCCAGCGGCUAUCGACGGUGAGCAUUUGGCCACUGAAGUCGGUUACGAUGCCAAACUACAGUCAGGUCAAGACCCUGUUUCAUCAGCUCUCCGGUGGCUGGGCUCCGACGAUCCCGCAGGUGAUGAAGACGGAUGUGGAGGUCCUGGGCUGGGGUGGUUACACGUGGUCUGCGGUAGUGAGGCCACCCGGCUUUACAUUAACGUUCAAUUCUCUGGCAACAGCUCUGGUGGACAUUCCUGCAGUCAGCAUGCCAAUUGCACGCUCCCUCAAAACUUGAGACAUCUGUGGCAUUGUAUUGUGUGACAAAACUGCACAUUUUAGAGAGUGGCCUUUCAUUGUCAACAGCACAAGCUGCACCUGUGUAAUGAUCAUGCUGUUUAAUCAGCUUCUUGAUAUACCACACCGGUCAGGUGGAUAGAUUUUUCUUGGCAAAGGAGA
Oncorhynchus tshawytscha (Chinook salmon) is the source of this 583-nucleotide long non-coding RNA. The record is from Ensembl. Lineage: Eukaryota; Metazoa; Chordata; Actinopteri; Salmoniformes; Salmonidae.